This 275-nucleotide ribosomal RNA is filed under the name uncultured Methanosarcina sp. RNAcentral's name for it is "partial 16S ribosomal RNA". It matches the Rfam family "Archaeal small subunit ribosomal RNA", at positions 725 to 999 of the family's 1478-position model. The record is from RNAcentral. Lineage: Archaea; Methanobacteriati; Methanobacteriota; Methanomicrobia; Methanosarcinales; Methanosarcinaceae.
UCGAUUAGAUACCCGCGUAGUCCCAGCCGUAAACGAUGCUCGCUAGAUGUCAGGCAUGGCGCGACCGUGUCUGGUGCCGCAGGGAAGCCGUGAAGCGAGCCACCUGGGAAGUACGGCCGCAAGGCUGAAACUUAAAGGAAUUGGCGGGGGAGCACAACAACGGGUGGAGCCUGCGGUUUAAUUGGACUCAACGCCGGACAACUCACCGGGGGCGACAGCAAUAUGUAGGCCAAGCUGAAGACUUUGCCUGAAUCGCUGAGAGGAGGUGCAUGGCA